CUGUCUAAAACUGGAUCACUUUUGCCCUCUGGUAUUUAAAGGCCACGCUAAAGGUCAGUUCUGGUUAUUCCGUGAUCCUGAAGCGAUUUUUCCUGCCACGUACAAUUGACAUCAAAGCAUGAACACAUGCAAAAAAANGGAGAAAGAAAAUAUAGAAUGGGCUUUCUGCAGCCUUGUCCGGCUUGUCCCUUAGGAACUGGACUGGGUCAUAGGAGGGCAGACCUCUACACUGCUUGAACUGAAAGUGGGAAGAGACUUAACUCCAUUCGGAAGAGUUCCAAAAACUCCAGCUUGCUACACCCUGUGAGAGUGGUUGUGAAUUUCCUGUGUGGACUUCAGUAACUUCAAGGGAUAGUGCGAAUGCAGUCCUCCACUACCACAAUUUAGCAAAGGAAAACUGCUCAAUAGCAGUAGAGGAGCAGAUUUCAGCAAGUGUGCCUACCAAGAGGCAGGGCAGAUCUUCAACAGGAGGCAGAAAAGGAUGAUUCCAGUGGUG
Molecule: long non-coding RNA, 496 nt
Filed under: Salvator merianae (Argentine black and white tegu)
Lineage: Eukaryota; Metazoa; Chordata; Lepidosauria; Squamata; Teiidae
Description: lncRNA (ENSSMRG00000022345.1)
Source: RNAcentral